RNAcentral lists this transfer RNA (66 nucleotides) under Betadevario ramachandrani. RNAcentral's name for it is "tRNA-Cys". It matches the Rfam family "tRNA". Rfam says of the family: Transfer RNA (tRNA) molecules are approximately 80 nucleotides in length. The record is from RNAcentral. Lineage: Eukaryota; Metazoa; Chordata; Actinopteri; Cypriniformes; Danionidae.
GGCCCCGUGGUGAAGUCACGUCAGAUUGCAAAUCUGGAGACGCGGAGGAAAUUUCCGCCGGGGCUU